Non-coding RNA from Phoenix dactylifera (date palm), 7960 nucleotides. The record is from RefSeq and is a predicted model, not a curated record. NCBI's taxonomy places the organism in Eukaryota, Viridiplantae, Streptophyta, Magnoliopsida, Arecales, Arecaceae.
CCACCUGUCGCUUCACGUCCCAGGCAGUGGUCCAAUGAGAAAGAAAGACAGGAGGGCAGGAUUCGUCGUGGUCGGGCGAAUUAAUUCUGAAGAAUUCGAGAAAGCAUAAAAAAAAUCCCAUCCACGCCCGGUCAGCCACGGAGACCGUCCAGAUCUCAUCGGACGCUGCCGCCUCCGAUCACAUCGGAUCGAUCGACUCCACGGGAAAGCAACGGUCACACAACUGGCGUGUGGGGGGUUUGUUCUGUUUUUUUCCUUCACAGCUUAGGAGAAGGACGGAACCCUAAGGAUUUGUGUUUUCUUUCCUCUCCUCUCUAUCUUGGAGACUUUUGAACUCUUUGAUUUCAGAUGGCCGUCUCUGGACCGAUGUAAUCGAUGUAUCUGAAUUCUAUUUACUCGAAUUCUUGGAGGCACCUGCUUUAUUUCAAUCUCCAUUGCUGUUUCUUGGUGAGAUCAAGAUAUUUUAAACCAGAUAUCUCGACGGGAUCUACUGAAAAACUGCUUUACCAGCAUCUAACAAAAUAUAAGCUCUGCUGUUCACUAGAGAUCUCAUCUCCGUUGGAAAUUCAACACCUUGACUCCAAAUGAAAAGACAGUCGCAAAGAGCACAGGAAAUGCAAUAACUGCAGCAGCAACUGCUCCCAAGAAGUCAUGUUCGUAUCCAAAGUACCUCCUUACGAAGUGCUUCACGGUUUCACCUGUGUCCAUGGUGGUAUCACCCAUGUCUCCGAACUGUGAGGCAAGCAGGCCAUAAAGAGUCCAAGAAAUUGGGCAUGCCCAGUAGUACCAUCUCCACCAUACAGGUAUCCUCUGUAGUCAAUAAAUGAAAUUUAGUGCUUGAAUCCUUGAAUAAAAAAUAUAUGAUAAAUUAAACUUACCGGACGAGGAAUCACGAAGCCUGCAAAGAGAUUCCAUAUUGCAUAAAAUGCAGUGGAUACUAUUGCAGCAAUGUUUGAAUUGGGUGUCAGUGCCACUGCCAUCAUCCCAUAGUAUGUGAAGUAAAGAAAUGUGAAGAACAUGAAGAAUAUGUACCACAUGAACUUGGCAGCUGUCCAAUCAAAAUUUAUCAUGCUGUACACAAGUAACCCAUAUACCACUGUCUGAAGGAAGGUAUAUGGUAUUUCAAUUGCAACCUGAAUGCAAUAGAAUAAGGUGAGGAGUGAUUCAUGAAAGAAAAGAAAGAAAUGCAUAAAUAUGGUAAUAUUGGUCCCCAAUUGUUAAUGAGGAUCCAGUACAGAAUAACCUGAAAAAUCAUUUGAUUGUUUGAAACAUGACAGUCCUGAAGCAUGAAAUCUUAUACAUUUACCUGUGCAAAUGCAUAUGGUAAAGCAGAAUACAUUCCUGCAGCCUUCUCUCUAUAGAAUACUGUCCGUUCAACAUCCACAAUAGGCUGGACAGUUUGAGAAUUCUGUAUUCCAAUAAACAUGACUGCACAAUACAUUGAUCCCGUGGCAUUGAACAGAUCCUGCUGUGUGGUUCUGCAAAUUUUACGACCACGUAGAGGUGCUUUUGUCAUUACCAAAUUAAAAAAAUCAUAAAUUUGACAUGAAGACAAGAGUUACAUCAAAUUGAAGUAAAGAUCCAGAAUUAAUACGUUUUAGAGCCAAGUCUCCAGAAUAUUGUCCCAAACAUUAGGGCUAUAACUGUUGUAAAGAAUAACCGUAUGGCAUUGUAUGAUGGAUUGCGCCAAUAUGACUUGUACUGUUUCCAGAAGCAAGCGAUGCACUGGAUGAGGGAUGGUUGUGCAUAUUGUGCGGGGAAGUAGAGAUCUUUUGAACCAGGAGGAGGUGUACUGAGUUCUUGAAUCAGAGCUUUGUUUCUCCUGCAAGAAUCACCACAAAAAUUUUCUUAAUACAAGAGGUCAGAGAUGCAGUGAAAGUGCUAGUAGUCAACAUACCUGAAUAAAUCUGAGUUCUUGUAUACUUCAACAAAAUUAACUCCUAGAAUUUCUUCUUGUGCCAUUGAAGUGACUUCCAACAUCCAUGUUGCUGGGUUAUAACCAUCUUUUAUCUUAGCGACUCCACUUAUUCCCUUAAAAAUAAACAAUUGCUAUCAGCACCUAUAACAUGGGAUCUCAUCAAGGGAAAGGAAAAAUUCAUGCAGAUCUAUACUAUUUUUCUCAUCACCUCAAAAUACUUGAUUAGUUCGCAUGAGUUGUGCCCCAGUGGGCCUACAUAGAUCUCUUCACCGCCUCGUUUCAUAAGAAAGAGCUGCAAUUUUGGUAAAAUUAGACAUCAAAACAAUAGUACCAAUAAGCCAAAAGAACCCCUCUGGCUGGUCUGGCACAGAAAGGUCAUGGAAUUGUGGUGCAUUAGCAUAUCCAUCUCUAAGGAGGAACAGCAAAUUUUGCUUUUCCAGUUAUCUCUUACCUCAUCGAAGGCUUCAAAAAUGUCAAUACUAGGUUGGUGAAUUGUGCACACAACUGUUCUUCCUGUAUCUACCGUGUUCCUGACAGUUCUCAUGACAAUUGCUGCUGCUCGUGCAUCUAGUCCAGAUGUAGGCUCAUCCAUGAAAAUUAUGGAAGGAUUUGCAACAAGCUCAACCGCAAUUGUCAAUCUUUUGCGCUGCUCGGUUGACAGCCCAUUUACACCUGGCAAGCCAACCAUUGCUUUCCUCAGCGGUGUGAGCUCGACUAGUUCCAUAACCUCCUCGAUAAACAUCUGCAUUUAUUGUGUCCACUGUCGAUUAUUGGCUAAACAGACUAGAAGUAAACCAAUUCAUUUAGGCAUUAGUUGAUAUAGACAAGCAUAGACCAAUGUAGGAAAUACUGUUAAGGAUAUAUGAACUCUUCUAAUCUUUAAAAAAUCAAUACAUUGCAUAUGUGCCAUAUCAAUUUAUUCUUCUCCUGCUUAAGAUGCUAGAAAAGAUUUUAAUAACUUGGGCCUUUUUUCUUAGCCAUCAAUAUUGGAAUACUAUAGAGGUACAUUUGCUAAUCUUCUUUAUUCACUAACAUUAGAUUUGAGUUUGCUAUAUAGUUAAAUUUGAUUAAAUGUAAUUGUAGUUUGUUAUAUUAAAAAUCAAUCUUCUGAGCUAGCUGUAUGGACCGACCUUCACUCUUUUUUUUUCUAUCACUAAAAUUUUCAUUCAUCACCACUAUCAUCCAAAUAGCAUCUUACCAUUUGCAUACAAUUUAUAGGAUACCAGAGAUAAUUUCUUUUAAGAUAUAUGGAAUAUUUGAGAUACGCUACUCGAUUAGAAAUGCAUGAUGGAUGUAUUACAUGGUUUCUGGAUGUACAACAAAUCAUAGAAACAUCAAGGAGAGGGAGUUGGACUGGUUCAAUUACAAUAGAGAGGACUUAUUUUAUUUUAUUUUUGAAGAUUUGUCAUCCUAGAAAUGUGUUUUUUAUAAAUUUAUUUAUUUGAUUUAUUUCUGUAAAUAGGUAAUAGAUCUAAAAAUGAAUAUCUUACAUAAAUUGCAUUGAAUAUGGCUUUACUAGAACCACAAUGUUGUUAGUUACUGGUGUAAGAGACCAUAGGCAUCAAGAGUUGAUGGAUCAGAGAAAAGCAAAGUCAAGAGUGAGUAUGAUGUUUAAUAUCAAAGUUCAGUAUAUUAUGUCAUAUGCUAUGUAGCAUGUGUAAGUAUAGCAGACACAGCAUGAAACACAUAAAAAACUAUAUGACCAAAUUAUUAGCCCCAAAAGAAAUUACAAAACACGCCCUCUCUAUAUGUUUUGCUUUUUGUAAGUAGUCACAUGCAUGUGAACAUCAGCAAAAUAUGAGCAUUGAGUUUAAAGAUAUCCUCACAAAUAGUUUUUGGACAAUCCAUGUCAGGUGAUCCAUGCAAUCCUGCUUCUACAAUCACUAGUAUGCCAGUAUGCUAGCCCUUGCCUCUAUUGUUUGUGUAGAUAGAUAAAUGAAACAAGGCACGCAAAAUGUUCAUAAGAAGAGGAAAGAAAGAAAAUUUUCUUUUCCUUCCUUAAAUCUUAUGUAUGCAAUUGUAUUGUUUUUUCAGGGCAUAUAUGUGUUUUGUAUGCAUUAUGUGAUUAAUUAGAAUUUUUAGAUAAGUAUUGUUUAUUUAAUAGUCUCGUGUUUCAUGCCAUGCUCUUUCAGCACUUUAUGAUAUAAAGUGCAAUAAGGAUUGGGAGGAAGAUGCUGCAUGUGGCUGGUCGGUGACAAAUUCCUCAAACAAUAACUGAACAACUGGUUAUACCAAGUUGGGAGCCUGCCUGCAACUUGAUUACAUAAUAUAAAAUGCUUGGAAUCCACUAAGAGAAAUUCCUUGUGUUCUCUACAUCACAAAACAUGAGAAUUUACACCUCAGGUGCUAUUAAGACAUAAAUAAGAUAGAAGCUUAUGAUGAGUGUUUUGUAUAGAUCAUAUAGAAACUGUUAACAUGUGUGACUUAGACACAAAUAACAUAAAGUAUAAUAAGUGGAAAGAAUGGAAUUGCGAAAUAUAAGGUUAGGUCAAUAGUUGUAAUCUGAAAGUGAUACCGAUGAGCUUAUGGAGAAGAUAAGCUGACGUUGAAAAGAAGUAUAUACUUCUUUUCAUGCAUAUAUCGAAUAUACAAUGAACUGAUGAGGCAAUCAACCCACUGGAUCUGAAUAACCAACUUUAUAAACUUAGUCUCAAAUGUGAUAUAUAAUAAAACUUGUUGAACUGAUGGUGUAAUCAACCUACUGGAUCUGUAUAAUCAACUUGUUAUGAGCUUGUGAACAGGUUUUGGUAUUCUAGGAGGUAAUUGCAGAUUACCAACUCAUGAUUAUGUGGUCUAGUCUAACUUUUGCCUGUUCAUUUGCAUAAUAAUAUCAUGAUGCUCCAAUAUAAACUACAUAUCAUCUGAGGAAAUUAUGUAGAAAACAUUCUUUCUAAAGUGUUGUAUUACAUGCUGGCACCGACCCUUUAUUUUUCCUGAAAAAGAAAGACCCAACAUAUAUGUUUAAAUGUCCAGGAAAUGAUGAAUGAUGCAUAUUGUACAUACUACAUGAUGCUACCAUUUGAGCUGUAGGGUGUAAAGUUAUUGCAGUGCCUACCUUUCUUCUGCUAGAAUCAACUUCAGGGGGUAACCUUAGCCAUGCAGAGUAGACAAGAGACUCAUAUAUUGUCACAUGGGGUGAGUGGAUGUCAUUUUGCUCACAGUAUCCUGAUAUCCGUGCAAAAGUUUCCUGCUUCUUUGGAUAACCAGAUAUUUUGAUGCUUCCCUCAAUAUAUCCGCCCGUUUUUCUCCCAGCCAACACGUCCAUCAAUGUUGUCUUACCUGCUCCACUGACACCCAUCAGUGCUGUGAGAACUCCUGGCCUGAAUGCUCCACUUACACCCUUGAGCAGUUCCAAUCGAUCUUCUGUCACUCCUUGAGCUUUCAUUUCCUGUGAGUGUAAAUUAACAAUCAGUCCGCAGUUCUUUGAUUAUAAAUUUAUAAUAAUGUGAAUGACGUAACCUAGCCUUUACUUUGUAAAAUUGCAUAAUAUGUUUGAACUCGAGCAUACCUGUGGCAUGUCCACGGAGUAUUUGACAUCAUCAAAUGUGAGUGAGAGUGGAACAAAUGGAAGUACCAUACCCUUCCUCCUGUUCUGAUUAGCCUCAGUGCUGAUCUCCAUCCCCGUGGUCCUACUUCCACUGCCUCUUGCUGCAGUCAUGUGGAUUUGUAGGUAAGCAUCAGUGUUCCUGUAAAUCAGAUUGCGAACUUUUUUAUUAAACUGACCUUCAGAUGGAUGGCUGGAGUUCCUUUCUCUAGUUGGCAGCUCGACACUUUCACCUGUUCGGUUAGCUUGCUUCUCUUUCAACGCUUCUUCAGAUAUAACUGUUUGGCCUUUUCCAAUUGCUGCAUCAAUGUAAUUUGUCAAUUAGAUCAUUGAUUUAUCCUGCUGAGAAGUGCGACCAGUAUUACUGAGAAACAUUUAAUUUUGGAGGGGAGGGAGCUCACGGUCAAGGUAAGAAAGCGCAACAGUGAAGAAGAAAUUGAAAACCACAAUAUAUCCAAGCAAUGCACCGACACCAAUCCAAUACCAUUUUGCUUGGGGAAAAAGACCUCGAGACUCCAAAACUUGGACUCCCAAAGUUUCUGUGCUAGCAGUCGCAUUAACAACCUGUUUUGAGGAGUCAAUGCUAACUUAGAUCAAUUCCAAUGAAUCAAACUUUUGCAUAUUCAGUAGGGAAUUUCUUACAUAUCUCCAUUUUUUCCCAAGAAAUUCGUUCACAGCUAUUGCAUUCUGUGCAUACAUCAAGGGUGAAGACCAGUAACCCCAGAUCCACCAUUUCCUGAUAUCCUCUGAAGAAAGCAAAGAAGAUUUAGUCAUGCAUUUGUCAUUAGUCUUACUAAUAAAAUUAAAGUUGAGAUAAUGGCUUUUAAUUUGUUGCAAGAAUCUUGGCCUUGUACAGAAGCACAUUAUCUUAAAGACAUCUUACUUCUUGAUAUGACAAAGCCUCCAAGGACUAUGAGCACCAGCUGUGCAAAGGAACCGAAUGUGUUUGCAACAACCAUUUCUCUACCACAUGCAGCCAGGAGCCGGAAGAGUCCAGACGCCAUUUGGCUAACCAGUGCAAAUAUCAAAAAUUGUCUAAACAUCCUGUGCAAAGAAAAUUGUCUGGUUAUUUCAAGACGCUGAAAGAUAUAUAUUACAAAUUUGCAAUCUGGAUUUACUGAUGGUGAUCAGAUUUUUCUAUCCAAUUUCACCUUUGGACAUUUGGAUCAAAACCAAUGACGUAAUAAGUCAUGGCGACAUAGAGACCACAUUCCAAGAAUGAGAUCGGAAUCUUCAGUAUCCACGCAGGUAGUGCAUAUGCCCAGCCAGGAUAAAAUAGGAGAUCUCUUUGCUUGUAAAAGACGGGAAGCUUUGCAAUGCUCAUUGCAAGUUCAGCAAACCCGUUGAACAGAUGCGUGAUAAUACCGAUAAAAAGUGCACCCAUAUAAACUAAACCAUCCUCCGUGUCACUAUGGCCCAUCUUGGUGCGCAGGAAGACCGUCAUUGCAAUAGUUGCAAUCAAACAGAGCUGAAAUUGUUAAAGGCCAGAGCAUGUAAGAUGCAGAAUGAUAUGAAUUUAGGAAUUGUGCAAGGUCUGUCACUGACCUGGAAGAGUUUGAAUAUAUAGACAAAUGAGUUUCUCUUCAUCAGCAAAAACUCUCUCGCCAUGCAAGCUUUCAGCAAUUCUCUCUUGCUAAUUCCAUAUCUUGAUGUAGUUAAAGCAGCUGGAUGGUUUCUGCUCUUGUCGAAAGGGGUGGACAGUUCAAUUUCCAACCUACGACCAACAUGGAAUGACAGAAAUGCAUCUGCAAAUUCCUUAACAGGAAUGAAACGGACAUCUGAAACCCAUGGAUUCAAAAAAUUCAAGUACAUGCUCACGUGGGCCCUGAUACACAAUCUGCCCUUCGGAGAGGAGAAUAAUGUCAUCAAAAAGGUCGUAAGUCUCUGGAGCUGGCUGAAGCAGAGCUAUCAGUGCUGUGCCUCCAAGGAUGUGAACGGACUGCCUGAGGGAAUUGACAAUCUGGAAAGUUGUGGAGCUGUCCAGGCCAGUAGAGAUCUCAUCCAUGAACAGUGCCCUUGCUGGACCGACAAGCAUUUCACCUAUUGACAAGAAGAGACUUGUUCAAGUUUGGCAGUCUUACAACAAAAGGAGUGUUUUUGAGUGCGAGAGUACAAUCCCAAAGGUUCUCAUUAACAGUAAUUCGACCUGUCGUGACUCGCUUCUUUUGCCCUCCAGAGAUACCCCUUAACAUUGCAUCACCGACCAUAGUAUCGGCGCAGAUAUCCAGUCCUAAAAUCUGCAGUUUUAGAGGAAGCAGGGAGAAGAAGAUAGAGUCAUGACUAUUGUGCAUUAGGGUAAGAGAUCUCUGAACUUAUUUGUUGCCCUAAUAUGUCGAGCGCUUGCCUCCAACCUUGCCACUUGUACCUUAUCCUUAAUUGGACUUUAAUAUUUUCUUCUCUAUGUAAUCAUUUUAUCAAUUACCAUCCUGUGGGAUACCUUUUGCAGUAUCUCUGCUCUCAGUAGGAAUGUCUAUAAAAUGGUCAGUGGUUUUGAUUCA